GGAGUUUCUGGUAAUCAGGGUGACAAGACAUUUUGGGAAUUUCAGGUGGAUUGAAUAUGGUUUAGAAAUAACUGGUCCAGCCCGGUCUUAGGCUUCUUCACUUCCUGAGGGUGUGGGCGACUUAGCUAUAUAAAGGGGCACUCUGCUCCAUUGUUGCUAUCCUCCUCACACUCAAAUCCCCAACAGCUCUGGAGAAUCAAGUUCCCUCAUAUCCAGAAAGAUGUCCUAUCAGCAGCAGGAGCAAUGCAAGCAGCCCUGCCAGCCCCCUCCUGUGUGCCCACCUCCCAAGUGUCCAGAGCCAUGCCCACCUCCUAAGUGUCCAGAGCCAUGCCCACCUCCGGAGAUUCCACCUCAACUCUGCCAGCAGAAGUGUCCUCCUGUGCAGCCACCACCACCAUGCCAGCAGAAGUGACCACCCAAAAGCAGCAAGAGCAAAAGCCAUUAAGGCCACAAUGCAAGAAAAACAAAUAGUUCCUCCCAUCUCCAGCAGCUUCGUCGCCUCUUCUCUGAAGCCUGUCCUGGUGGCGGAUGGUGCUCCCUGAGCCUCUAUCCUGCUCUUCCUGCGGUGAUGCUUGACAUAAAAGAGACUUAAUCCUAAAGGAACUCUCUUUCUUUUUAGGGUCAGAUUCCUGUCUGAGAUAGGGCCAUUCUUGGGGAUGCCAGAGCCCUAGAGCCCCAGAUAAAAGAGCAACAGGAACAAGUCUAACUUCCUUAAAAUGCAGCCUUUCUUUUCUGUGUGUCUGAGAUCUGGGCAACCCUUUCUGUGGUCUGGGAAACAUAGCUUUGCUCCUGUUUCCCUAAUAAAGCAUGUUUCAUGAUGGAACAAAUGCCUUUCUUCUUUAAUCCUGGUUGUUAGCUGUAUCAGACUAGUAGGCAAUUAUUUGUUUUUUUAUCAGAUCUCUGAAUUCAGAUGACGUAGUAAUCAUAGUUCAUUGGGUUUGGCUUGAAACGUGUCUGUUUAGAUUGAGUACAGGAAUAAGUCCUUUUUUUUUUAGCUCAAUGCCAACUCUGCUUGUUACAAAUGAUGUGUUCUUAUUUGGAGAGAGAAAAUGAUACCUUCAACUCAGGGUUGUUGUAAGAAUCUAUCCAUUUCUUUAGUCAUUCAUCUGUUAAAAAUACAUUUGUUGAGUGUGUACUUUGCACCUGGUACUCUUUUAGGUGCAAGGGAUACAGUGGUGAACAAAACAUAUAAAUACUUUGAGUUUUUGGAGGUUAAAUUAUACUGAACGAAACAGACUAGUUAAUGAAUAUUUAAGCUAACAUAUAAUAUCAGUUGGUAAUACUGUAAAUAUUCUCAAAAAAAUGAAAGCAGAGUCAGAGGAUAGAGAGUAAUGGGGAAGGGAAUUGGGGGUUGCUGGUUUGAGAGCCGUGAGUGAAAUAAGCAAGACAUGGGGGUUUGAGGUGUAUAUUCUUCCAAGGAGAGGGAAUAGUAAGGGAGACAAUGGCCAUAGGACGUUGAAGGGGCCAGUAACUGUAGUAGAGUUUGUAGGAGGGAGAGCGAUGGAGAAUGAAGUAGCCAGAGGCCGGAUCAUGCAGGGAAUUGUUGAACUUUGUAAGGGUUUGGGAUUUUGUUCAAGUAUUAGUGAAUAUUAUGCACUAAAUUUUAUGUCUACUAAAUUCUCCCCUAUCAUGUCUCCUUGCUUAUGCAGGAUAUUCUAACAUAAUAAAUUAUAUUUGCAACAUUAUGACUGUAAAAGGUAUUUGGUUAUUUAAACGUUUUAAUGAAAAGGUUCAAAUAUUGAUGAGUCAGUUUUAAAGUUCAUUGGCAAACAUGGAAGUUUACUUUUAACUGCUAACAGAUAAUUUGUCAAUUGUCCCCCCUUGAAAGGAAAUUUAAACAAUUCAUCUUCAAGUAAUCUGUGAUUUCUCAUAGCUCACAAAUUGUUCCUACUGAGGUCCACAUGCCUACGGGAAUGCUGGAGUGUAGAGUUACAUGAGUCGACGUGAAAUCACUCGAGUUGUGGGUUUUUUUUUUGAAGAUUGGCCCUAAGCUCACAUCUGUUGCCAAUCUUCCUCUUUUGUUUUUUCUCCCAAAGCCCAAG
This 2042-nucleotide long non-coding RNA is filed under the name Equus asinus (donkey). Its description in RNAcentral is "lncRNA (ENSEASG00005035751.1)". The record is from RNAcentral. Lineage: Eukaryota; Metazoa; Chordata; Mammalia; Perissodactyla; Equidae.